GACGAACGCUGGCGGCGUGCUUAACACAUGCAAGUCGAACGGAAAGGCCCUGCUUUUGUGGGGUGCUCGAGUGGCGAACGGGUGAGUAACACGUGAGUAACCUGCCCUUGACUUUGGGAUAACUUCAGGAAACUGGGGCUAAUACCGGAUAGGAGCUCCUGCUGCACGGUGGGGGUUGGAAAGUUUCGGCGGUUGGGGAUGGACUCGAGGCUUAUCAGCUUGUUGGUGGGGUAGUGGCUUACCAAGGCUUUGACGGGUAGCCGGCCUGAGAGGGUGACCGGCCACAUGGCGCCUGCGAUACGCCCCAGACUGCAACGGGAGGCAGCAGUGGGGAAUAUUGCACAAUGGGCCGAAGCCUGAUGCAACAACGCCGCGUGCGGGAUGACGGCCUUCGGGUUGUAAACCGCUUUCGCCUGUGACGAAGCGUGAGUGACGGUAAUGGGUAAAGAAGCACCGGCUAACUACGUG
This 468-nucleotide ribosomal RNA is filed under the name uncultured bacterium. Its description in RNAcentral is "partial 16S ribosomal RNA". It matches the Rfam family "Bacterial small subunit ribosomal RNA", at positions 28 to 507 of the family's 1533-position model. The record is from RNAcentral.